GUUGAGGAACAUUGCUCUAAUGCAUAAGUGCAAAUGAUACUACUCUUUGAUCUUAACCAUAAGGCCGAGAAGCCUUAUAAUCGGUUGGUUCAACAUAACCCAGGACUGUCUACCAGAAAUAUACUGUAAUCGAAUCAAUCAUAUGCGGCACUUUUACAAAAUAUUCCGUGCUUCAGAAAUCUCUUUUCCGUCUUAUACACACGCACACACACACACACACAAUCUCACGCGCGCGCGCUAGUAAAGUGUUCUGCUUUAACUUAGGGAGUUGUAAACAGAUAGCUACUUCUAUGACGUCAUAAAGAAGAGAUGAUGUCAAGUGUAAACAAACAAAUCUGUAUCUUACUCGAAUAUUGAGAUUAAUCGUCAGUUAACUAUUCUAUAGAAAGACAGAAAUUAUAUUGCUAAUGAUUUCAAUAGCUGUAUCUCCUGAAAAGUCAUGAAGUCCACUGGGUAUAUAUUUUUCUAAAUUCUCUAGUUUCUUUCAGUGAAAAUGUUGCAUCUCAAUGAACCUUCAGUUUUAAGGACAAUAAAAGCGUGAACUGCUGUAAAUCUAAAGUAAUUUUCUUAAACUCUGUUUCUUGUUUUGAAUUCUGAAAGCCAAAAGCAUGAAAGGCAGCAAUCAUUUAAAAAAAAAAUCAGAUCUCAGACUAAGAAACCAACCAAUAUGUUCUAAUAGAAAACGCAUUAAAAAAAUUGAAAUGUUCACCAAGAACUGGCAUACUAUAAUCAUUUGUAGAAGGCAACGAGCUGGCAGAACUGUUAGAACGUUGGACAAAUCGCUUAGUGGCAUUUCUUCUGACUCUUUACGUUCAAGCUUCAAAUUCCACCAAGGUCGAUUUUGCUUUUCAUCCUUUCGCGGGUGAUAAAAUAAGUACCAAUUGAACACUGGGAGUCGAUGUAACCGACUAACCUCCUCCCUCCAAAACUGCAGUCAUUGGGCCAAAAUUUAAAGCUAUUAUCAUUCAUGGUGUUCCACAGGAGAAAAUAUAAGCCUGACAAAUGCUUUGAUAGCUUGGUGGCGAUAUUGAUACUGAGUGAGCAGCAAUAUGGUGGUAAUCGUUAUAAAAUUGAAAGAACACACACACGUUGGGAAGAAGAUAGCACGAAAUCAAAUUAUGAAUUUACAGAAGCUGGUGUGUGAGAGCGUGUCAUUCAAAGAAAAAUGAAUAAAACGAAGAAAAGAGACGGUUAACAAAGAUAUUUGCCUAUAAAUUUAGCAUAAUGAACUGUUUAAAUCUUGCUCCUGUCUUCAAAGAAUGGAAUUUAUAUUAAACAUAUUCAUUUUAUUCUGAGUAUUGAAGACAGACAGUGGUUUCUUGAUGCUUUCAACGAGCACUUAUAGAAAUGUUAAUUAUUUUAGAACCCAACUUAAGUGAUGGCUAAUUGACAACAAUCAAUGUUAGUCGUUCGCAAACGAAAUUAAUCACCGGCUGACAAAGUUAAACCGAUAUUAUUGAUAUAACGCGGCAUCUAGGAAAACUGUCAGCUAACAAAAACAAAUGUAAGAAACAUCAAGAAUAUCAAAAAGAAAUUUGAUAAGCUGUCACGGGUAAUUUUGACGUUUAAGAUUUAACAAAAGAAAUCAAAAGUGACGUCAUACUUUGAUGUUAUCUUCUUUGUUAACAACAUAUAUAAUAACCCGAGAUGUCAACAAAGUGAUAACAGAAGAUUUUAAGUCAGUAGCAUAAUCUUUCACUUUCAAGAUGCGCGCGCGUAAAGAUGCACAUCCAAAUUAGUACAUAGAAUAUCAUACAGUGCUGAUAGAUUGACCAGGUCUGAUACUUAAUUAAAAGGUAGAUCUGUUCUGUAAAAAUACCGUAAAAUUCUAAAGUUUCAUCCUUUAAUUUCGAGAGAAUUCGAUUUCCAAUCGGCAAGUAAUCAAUAAAGGAAUCUCUACAAAGUCGCUUGACCUACUAGAAAUAAUUUUUUUUUUUCUUAAUUACAGCGUACCGCUGAAAAUGUUUCUUAUUAUUGCUGUUGUUUAAUCCAAGGUCAGCUUUGACUGAGCAG
Long non-coding RNA from Octopus bimaculoides (California two-spot octopus), 2013 nucleotides. RefSeq lists it as uncharacterized. The record is from RefSeq and is a predicted model, not a curated record. NCBI's taxonomy places the organism in Eukaryota, Metazoa, Mollusca, Cephalopoda, Octopoda, Octopodidae.